This 1455-nucleotide long non-coding RNA is filed under the name Callithrix jacchus (white-tufted-ear marmoset). RNAcentral's name for it is "lncRNA (ENSCJAG00000077840.1)". Lineage: Eukaryota; Metazoa; Chordata; Mammalia; Primates; Cebidae. The record is from RNAcentral.
CUUUACACAUCACACCAGGCAAAGGAGAAGCAAGCUCUAAAGGAAACCUAGCCAGGGAACUGAGGUGAAAAGAGCGUAUCUACUGAACCAUUUGCUUUUACAAGCCCGUGUGAGGAAGAUGAAAGAGCCAGAUUCCAGUUCUGGCUGUGUGUUUCCAGAGCCGUGCAAGUGUGGACAGAUAAAGAAAUUUAGACACAAGUCUGGCAAUUCACUCCCAAUAAUUGAGAGGUGGUGCUGUGAAUGGAAACCAAGCUGCUUGAAUCUGGAGCUCAGAAUGGAGCUCCAGAUUUUUUGAGCAGGUAAGAAGGUGUUUCAGUGUUUCUCAUGUAGUCAGUUUCCUAAUUCAACUUCAUGACACCUUUCCUGGCUGACUGAAUAUUUCAACCAUCCUUGCAUUGUAUAUUUUUCACUCCUGUUUUAUUUUUUCCUCCAUGGCACUUAAUACUGACACAUAUUUUACUUAUUUUUUAAAAAAAUUUUCUGUCCCCAUUACUAGGAUGUAAGCUCCAUGAGGGCAGGAACAUUUCUGUCUGUUUUACUCACUAUUGUAUCUCCAGGGCUGAUAAGAAUGCCUUGCACAUAAUAGAUGCUCAAUAAGUAGUUACUGAAUGAAUAAAUGAAUAUAUGCAUGUAUGAAAAACUGCUUACACAGAGGAUAGGGCCUUUUUAUUAGGUUUUGCAGAUUCUUCAGGAAAAACCCCUUUGAAUGGAGUUUGAAAAGGCUCUAAAUUGGUGGGCUAUAAAUGUAGUCAAACGUAUGUUGGGGGACUUUCAAAUACUGUGCUCAUUUUCAGGUCACCUCAUGUUGCCUCCUCUUCUCUGCUUUCCCUAGGCAUACGUGUUUAACUCUCUCCAUCCUGGUUUAACUGCCUUCUCUAUGAGCCUAUUCUCUAGAAAAUUCUUUGAUUGCUAGUUUACGUUUCCCAUUUAUAAGAUGGAGAUAAUUUUAUUUCUAACAACUUCAGCAUGAUAUGGAAGAGAUUGCUGAGAUGAUAGGAAAGAAAACAAAUUAUUGAAUCUUAGGAAGACUCUGGCUAUAGAAACAGACAUGAAAAUUCAGAUAAAAUCUUUUUAUCAGUCAUCCACCUCUUCAUAAUUUGAAGCUUUCAUCUCAAUGAAGUAGAAAUGGUGACUUUUGUGUCUUGUUGCUAUUUUGACCUUUAAACAAUUAGAAAAAAUAUUUUUAGAAAUUACCUAGCAUAUAAAUAUAGUAUUUUUUUGUUGUUUAAUGAGGAAGAUACUUUUUCAGUUUGAUUUUCUAUGUGGGUUGGUAAAAUGUAUUAAAAUUGUAUUGUGAAUCAGCUACCAAGAUAAUGUUCACUUAUUAAUUCAACAAACAUGAUCAAACCUCUAUUAUGCCAGACACCAUUUUAGUAUUAAAACAGCAAAGAUGUCAGUGAGAAAAACAGAACCCUGGGUUCUUGUAUCAUUCACAGAGAGAUGUUUUUAGAGAUC